CCUACGGGGAGCUGCAGUGAGGAAUAUUGGUCAAUGGGCGGAAGCCUGAACCAGCCAAGUAGCGUGCGGGAUGAAGGCCCUACGGGUCGUAAACCGCUUUUGCACGGGGAUAACACCCUCCACUUGUGGAGGUCUGCAGGUACCGUGCGAAUAAGAGCCGGCUACUUCCGUGCCAGCGGCCGCGGUAAUACGGAAGGCCCGAGCGUUAUCCGGAUUCCUUGGGCUUAAAGGGAGCGUAGGCGGGCGUUCAAGUCAGCUGUAAAAUCGCGCGGCUCACCCGCGCCCCGCAGUUGAAACUGGACGCCUUGAGUGCACAACAGGCAGGCGGAAUUCGUGGUGUAGCGGUGAAAUGCAUAGAUAUCACGAGGAACCCCGAUUGCGAAGGCAGCCUGCCGGGGUGCGACUGACGCUGAGGCUCGAAGGUGUGGGUAUCAAACAGGAUUAGAUACCCCAGUAGUC
This 459-nucleotide ribosomal RNA is filed under the name uncultured bacterium. RNAcentral describes it as "partial 16S ribosomal RNA". It matches the Rfam family "Bacterial small subunit ribosomal RNA", at positions 338 to 795 of the family's 1533-position model. The record is from RNAcentral.